AUUGAACGCUGGCGGCAGGCCUAACACAUGCAAGUCGAACGGUAGCACAGAGAGCUUGCUCUCGGGUGACGAGUGGCGGACGGGUGAGUAACGUCUGGGAAACUGCCCGAUGGAGGGGGAUAACUACUGGAAACGGUAGCUAAUACCGCAUAACGUCGCAAGACCAAAGUGGGGGACCUUCGGGCCUCACACCAUCGGAUGUGCCCAGAUGGGAUUAGCUAGUAGGUGGGGUAAUGGCUCACCUAGGCGACGAUCCCUAGCUGGUCUGAGAGGAUGACCAGCCACAGUGGAACUGAGACACGGUCCAGACUCCGACGGGAGUCAGCAGUGGGGAAUAUUGCACAAUGGGCGCAAGCCUGAUGCAGCCAUGCCGCGUGUAUGAAGAAGGCCUUCGGGUUGUAAAGUACUUUCAGCGGGGAGGAAGGCGGUGAAGUUAAUAACUUCACCGAUUGACGUUACCCGCAGAAGAAGCACCGGCUAACCCCGUGCCAGCCGCCGCCGUAA
RNAcentral lists this ribosomal RNA (504 nucleotides) under uncultured bacterium. RNAcentral's name for it is "partial 16S ribosomal RNA". It matches the Rfam family "Bacterial small subunit ribosomal RNA", at positions 30 to 523 of the family's 1533-position model. The record is from RNAcentral.